GUCUACUCGGGAGAAAAGCGACGCGAUCGAUGCAGGUUCCUCUCGAUAAAGCUUAGGGAGGAAGAAGAUGGAGGAUGUGAAGGCUACUAGAAAGCACGGGAGCCCACCACUUCCGUUGUUCCGCAACUCGCCCUCCGGCAGCGACGCCUUUGAUCUUUCUCCGAGCCAAGCUCCUCAUGUGUGACUGCUCCGGUGACCGAGCUUCAUGGGAACAGGUUUGUGAAUGAAAAUAAAAGAAAAGGAAUAAGCUGCAGUAAAAUUAUGGUGAAGAACGUUUUUUCAUAGCUCUGAACAUGUUGGCACUUAGAUUUUGAUUUUUGAUGAUUUGUAGUUCAGGCAUCCCUUUUGUAUUCGAUAACUCACAUACUACUUGAUGUUGCAUGGUCUACAGUCAAAUCACCACUCGAAGAAGAAGAGGUGAAUCAUGAAUUCCAUCUUAAAGAAGUCCAAGUGAGGUGCUUAUUUGAUUUUAUGUUUUUUUGGGGUAAA
This is a long non-coding RNA of Triticum aestivum (bread wheat), 489 nucleotides long. RefSeq lists it as uncharacterized. NCBI's taxonomy places the organism in Eukaryota, Viridiplantae, Streptophyta, Magnoliopsida, Poales, Poaceae. The record is from RefSeq and is a predicted model, not a curated record. The transcript has 3 exons.